UUCUGUAGCGCAGUGGAUAGCGCGUUGGACUUCUAAUCCAAAGGUUGUGUAAUUGGAUUCCACCUGGAAAG
Molecule: non-coding RNA, 71 nt
Organism: Trichonephila clavipes
Lineage: Eukaryota; Metazoa; Arthropoda; Arachnida; Araneae; Nephilidae
Source: the annotation of a GenBank genome assembly